Molecule: small nuclear RNA, 107 nt
Organism: Myotis daubentonii (Daubenton's bat)
Lineage: Eukaryota; Metazoa; Chordata; Mammalia; Chiroptera; Vespertilionidae
Source: RefSeq, a predicted model, not a curated record
GUGCUCACUUUGGCAGCAUAUUUACUAUAAUUGGAAUGAUGCAGAGAAGAUUAGCAUUGCCCCUGAGCAAGGAUAUCCUGCACUUUUGUGAAGCAUUCUAUAUUUUU